AACGAACGCUGGCGGCAGGCUUAACACAUGCAAGUCGAACGCCCCGCAAGGGGAGUGGCAGACGGGUGAGUAACACGUGGGAACGUACCCUUUACUACGGAAUAACGCAGGGAAACUUGUGCUAAUACCGUAUGUGCCCUUCGGGGGAAAGAUUUAUCGGUAAAGGAUCGGCCCGCGUUGGAUUAGCUAGUUGGUGGGGUAAAGCCUACAAGGCGACGAUCCAUAGCUGGUCUGAGAGGAUGAUCAGCCACAUUGGGACUGAGACACGGCCCAAACUCCUACGGGAGGCAGCAGUGGGGAAUAUUGGACAAUGGGCGCAAGCCUGAUCCAGCCAUGCCGCGUGAGUGAUGAAGGCCUUAGGGUUGUAAAAGCUCUUUUCACCGGGAGAAAGAUAAUGACGGUAUCCGGAGAAGAAGCCCCGGCUAACUUCGUGCCAGCAGCCGCGGUAAU
RNAcentral lists this ribosomal RNA (450 nucleotides) under uncultured bacterium. RNAcentral's name for it is "bacterial SSU rRNA". It matches the Rfam family "Bacterial small subunit ribosomal RNA", at positions 29 to 524 of the family's 1533-position model. The record is from RNAcentral.